RNAcentral lists this non-coding RNA (45 nucleotides) under Trichobilharzia regenti. Lineage: Eukaryota; Metazoa; Platyhelminthes; Trematoda; Strigeidida; Schistosomatidae. The record is from RNAcentral.
AUCCAGAUGACGAAUCCCAAAUAGGACGAAAUGCGCAUCCUAGAU